GAUGAACGCUGGCGGCGUGCCUAAUACAUGCAAGUCGAGCGAACGGACGAGAAGCUUGCUUCUCUGAUGUUAGCGGCGGACGGGUGAGUAACACGUGGAUAACCUACCUAUAAGACUGGGAUAACUUCGGGAAACCGGAGCUAAUACCGGAUAAUAUUUUGAACCGCAUGGUUCAAAAGUGAAAGACGGUCUUGCUGUCACUUAUAGAUGGAUCCGCGCUGCAUUAGCUAGUUGGUAAGGUAACGGCUUACCAAGGCAACGAUGCAUAGCCGACCUGAGAGGGUGAUCGGCCACACGGGAACUGAGACACGGUCCAGACUCCUACGGGAGGCAGCAGUAGGGAAUCUUCCGCAAUGGGCGAAAGCCUGACGGAGCAACGCCGCGUGAGUGAUGAAGGUCUUCGGAUCGUAAAACUCUGUUAUGAGGGAAGAACAUAUGUGUAAGUAACUGUGCACAUCUUGACGGUACCUAAUCAGAAAGCCACGGCUAACUACGUG
RNAcentral lists this ribosomal RNA (497 nucleotides) under uncultured bacterium. RNAcentral describes it as "partial 16S ribosomal RNA". It matches the Rfam family "Bacterial small subunit ribosomal RNA", at positions 28 to 507 of the family's 1533-position model. The record is from RNAcentral.